AUGAUAGCAGCAGGAAAUUCUUUGUCCUUGAAUCAAGGUAUUCAGGAAGAACAGGUUGUUCCGGCUAGAUACUGUCAAGAAUUCUUGACUAUUGCAUGGGAACAGAUUCAUGUUAGAAGUAUUUUUCCUUUCCAAUAUUUUUCUAUUGGGGGUUCUCUCAUUCCUUUUAUUGAGCACAAUGAUGCGAAUCGGGCUUUAAUGAGUUCUAAUAUGCAGCGCCAAGCAGUUCCACUUUCUCGGUCUGAGAAAUGCAUUGUUGGAACUGGAUUGGAACGCCAAACAACUCUAGAUUCGAGGGUUUCCAUUAUAGUCGAACGCGAGGGAAAGAUCAUUUCUACUGAUAGUCAUAAGAUACUUUUAUCAAGUAGUGGGAAGACUAUAAGUAUUCCUUUAGUUAACCACCGUCGCUCUAACAAAAAUACUUGUAUGCACCAAAAACCCCGGGUUCCGCGGGGUAAAUCCAUUAAAAAAGGACAAAUUUUAGCAGAAGGAGCUGCUACAGUUGGGGGCGAACUUGCUUUAGGAAAAAACGUAUUAGUAGCUUAUAUGCCAUGGGAAGGUUACAAUUUUGAAGACGCAGUACUAAUUAGCGAACGUUUGGUAUAUGAAGAUAUUUAUACCUCUUUUCACAUGCGGAAAUAUGAUAUUUAG
This 651-nucleotide ribosomal RNA is filed under the name Triticum aestivum (bread wheat). RNAcentral describes it as "partial small subunit ribosomal RNA". The record is from RNAcentral. Lineage: Eukaryota; Viridiplantae; Streptophyta; Magnoliopsida; Poales; Poaceae.